AUGCAUGUCAAGUUCAUAUAUAAAUAGAAACUGCGUACGGCUCAUUAGAGCAGAUUUAAAUGAUUCCGGGUAUCCUAUUGGAUAACUGUGGUAAUUCUGGAGCUAAUACAUGCAACAAUGCUCAGUUUCGGCUGAGUGCAGUUAUUAGUACGAACCAAUCGCUUUCGGGCGUAGUUUGUUGACUCUGAAUACCUAGUUUAUCGGCGGUUCAUCCGCUGAAGUCCGGAAUUUUGUGUCUGCCCUAUCAACUAGAUGAUAGUCUAUUGGCCUAUCAUGGUUGUAACGGGUAACGGAGAAUCAGGGUUCGACUCCGGAGAGGGAGCCUUAGAAACGGCUACCACAUCCAAGGAAGGCAGCAGGCGCGUAACUUAUCCACUACUCUUUGUGAGAUAGUGACUGAACAUAAAAAGACUCAUCUUUCUAGAUGGGUUAUUUCAAUGAGUUGAACUUAAAUAGUUCUUCGAGGACCCAGUGGAGGGCAAGUCUGGUGCCAGCAGCCGCGGUAAUUCCAGCUCCACUAAUGUAAAUCAUCAUUGUUGCGGUUAAAAAGCUCGUAGUUGAAAUCGAGUCAUGCAGCUUUGAAACGGCUUUGCCGAUAUUCUUAGCGGUGACUAUUUUGCCAGUACUUCAGGAGGUUACUUCGGUGCCUUCUGUGUCUGGCGAGUUUACUUUGAAUAAAUUAAAGUGCUUAAGACAAGCGUUUGCUUGAAUAUCUUAGCUAGGAAUAAUAAAACAGGACUACGGUUCAAUUUAUUGGUUCAGAAUUCGUGGUAAUGAUUAAUAGGGACAGUUCGGGGGCAUUCGUAUUCCUGCGCGAGAGGUGAAAUUCGGUGACCGCAGGAAGACGUCCUGAAGCGAAAGCAUU
This is a ribosomal RNA of 865 nucleotides. It matches the Rfam family "Eukaryotic small subunit ribosomal RNA", at positions 51 to 955 of the family's 1831-position model.